AUGAAUAGCAUAAGACCAGACAUUGGCUUCAGGGCAGCAGCUGUGCCUGCCCAAUGAUUGCACUUCGUUUUGGUCUGAGGUUAAGAGAGAGAUUCACUUCCAAGCUUUGCACUUUCUCAUGCGUGCAGCCUGUCCAUAUGGCAGAUAACUGUGCCUUUAAAAAUCCAUAUCCACUUUCCUUUCCAUCUUCACAGUAAGUCAUCACUGAGUCCUGAUGGGCUUUUGCAAGUGGAAGAGAUCAAAUACGUACAAAUUGUUUCAACGUAGCAAGUGUGGGAGGGUGUCAGGUCUGCAGCAUUAUUGCUGCUCAGUGAUUCAAUUGGUGUGUAAUGCAUUUGCAAACACUCUACUUGCUGCCUGUGAGAAAUGGAUUGGUGGUCCCAGGCCAAGGGAAUAAGAGGUGGGUGUAAUAGUUAGAAAUAUUUUCCUGCCCGGUAGAUGGGAGGUGGAAUAGUUGUCUUCCCGGUAAGUUCUCUUGUACACAGAAGUAAAAAUCUUUAUAAAUCUCCCCAAAGUGUCCUGGGCAGUGAAUGAAGAUGGUUGGAAGUAGCAUGGCUUCUACCGAUAAGAGGGUGGUGAAAGAGUGAGACAGAACUAAAGCAGGAGAACCAUGUCAGGAAGAAAAACGUUUUUGACUUGGGAGGUUUGAGUGAGAAGGAGAGCAAACAGAGUCAGUGAGUGUGUUGUCCUUGCCCAUGUGGGCUGGCUCUUGCACCCUGACCGGGAUGGUAGUGCUAGCAUCUGGAGAAAAUGCUGUGUAUAUGGUUUCUCUCUCAGAGGGAGUUAAAAUGUAUCAAUAUAUUAACAGUAUAUUCGUGGGUGGUCCCAAUGCUCAAUAGUAGGAGAAAUCCAAGCAGAGAUAAUUAGUCACUGGAAAAUUUAGGGUUCCAAAUUCAAGCAGAAAAGCUGCAACCCCAGAUCUGCCAUGGUGAAGUUCCUGCGUAUAUGGUGGAGGGGAGGAAUGGUGUGUAUUCUCCCUGAAACCUUGGCUAUCCUUGAACAAGUUAAAAUGCCUGGAAAGAAGGAGCUACAGUAUUCCCUGGGUCUGCUGGUAUUUUGGAGAAAACAUAUCCCAAAUUUCUCAAUCAUGGCAAGUGCCCUUUAUGAUUUAACAUACCAGAGGACCAGCUGGGACUGGAGCCCUAUCCGUCAAGAAGGCCUACAAUUGUUAAUCUUUGAGGCUGGGUUAUAUCAGAUAUCAGGCUUUAGGUCCAAUACAUCUGACAGAUCCACUUCAAAAAAUCAUAGAAUCAUAGAAUGUUAAAGGGUUGGAAUGGACCUUAAAAUCAUCUAAUCCCAACCACCCCUGCUAUGUACAGGGACACUUCCCACUAGACCAGGUUUCUCAAGGCCUUAUACAACCUGGCUUUGAACACUGCCAGGGUUGGGGCACUGGUAUGUGCAAUUAUAUCAUUAGUGCCAUGUGCUUCAGGUAGAGGAGGGAGCACAUGAAGUGCUCCAAAUACAAGAACCACCUGGCAAUCAACUGGGCCAGGAGCUUCCCCCAUCAUAUAUGAAACCAACCUCGCAAUUUGAGCCCCAUGUGAAAAAUGUAUGGUUCACUGAUGCAUCCUCCAAAGGAGAGGAGGAUACUGAGGGGGAGCCCUGUGUGUUUUUUGAGCAAGCUGAAUUGUGAUGAUGCUCAGAUGGGAAAAUUGGUAGCCAUGUGCAGUGUGGUUUUUAGAGAGGCUGAAACUAAAAACAACAGUGUUUAUUUAUAUGGACUCCUAUGCUGCUUUUAAGGGGUGCACUGGAUGGCUCCUGUUUUGCGAACAAACCCGUGGGAGGUCAAUCGGGUCCCCAGUGUGCCAGCAAGAGAAGUGGGACGACAUCCUAAACACAGCUAAGCAGAAGUCUCUUGGUGGGAUGGAUUGCUACUCACCAGAAGAGGGAUCACCUCCUGAAUAAUCAGAUUAUCUGAAAUCCACUGCUGGAGCUACGCUUUCAACUGUUGAGUGGAUGGACCAUUUUGCAUAUUUUUAGUUUGAUUUUACUAAGCCUAUUUUGCCUUUUUACUAGAGAAAAAUGGUGUGGGAAAAGUUUUUAUUCUUAUUUUAUGGGUGUACAAUUUUGUCUCAAUUGAUUGAGAAUGAGGAUACUCAGCCAAAUUUAGCUUGGGAGUUGAUACAAGGAUUUAUGCAUAUUUGGAACCACACGAAUCAAGGAAUAUGUAUUAACCUCCCCAACUCUGCAUCAGAGGGGCUUAGAUUUAUGAUGAUUUGGUUAAAUUUUUCAGAAAUAUUAACAAGAGAACUAGAUAACCUUAAAAAAACAGGAGGAAAUGUUACCUGGGGAAUGGUCGAGUCCCCCUUUCUAGACCAGAAGGAAGGACAACAAUGGGCUGCAAAUGGGACAUGGGUAGAAUACAAGAAAGCCUUUUACCACCUCCCACACAACUCUACCUGGAACCAUUUAUGGAAUCAGACAUGUUAUCGAUCAUUAGACGCUAACCCUACUGAGACAUUGCAAAAUGUCACUUCUAUCCCUUGCACGAUUGUACCAUGGUGGGAUUCUCCUGCUGAGGGUGGGUUUUUCGAACAUGAGUACAAUUUACAUUGGGAUGCAGGAUGGUGUAUACAGAUCCCCAGUAACCCAGGAACCCCACACCAAGUUAACCAAACAAAUUAUGAAUGGGCUUGGUCUCUGA
Lepidothrix coronata (blue-crowned manakin) is the source of this 2647-nucleotide long non-coding RNA. RefSeq lists it as uncharacterized. Lineage: Eukaryota; Metazoa; Chordata; Aves; Passeriformes; Pipridae. The transcript has 2 exons. The record is from RefSeq and is a predicted model, not a curated record.